CUCCCCUUUCAUUAGGAGCGUGCU
RNAcentral lists this microRNA (24 nucleotides) under Xenopus laevis (African clawed frog). RNAcentral's name for it is "Xla-Mir-12480-P1_5p (mature (guide))". Lineage: Eukaryota; Metazoa; Chordata; Amphibia; Anura; Pipidae. RNAcentral also lists the same sequence under 1 other name. The record is from RNAcentral.